This 288-nucleotide long non-coding RNA is filed under the name Mytilus galloprovincialis (Mediterranean mussel). Lineage: Eukaryota; Metazoa; Mollusca; Bivalvia; Mytilida; Mytilidae. The record is from RNAcentral.
UUUUAAUCUGUUGAUUUAUAUCUUAGCAGAGGCAUCUCUUUUGAUUUAUCAAAAAUAUACUUGUUUGAGAUUGUAUGUGAACAUUUUUGUAAUGAGGGUCAGAUAAGUUCAUGGUACAGCCAUAAUAAUUUCCAUUCGAUAAAUUAUAUUGUCACUGUAUUUGUAUUUUUAUAAGUGUAUUUUUACUUUCAUUGUUAAAAUUUGCCAAAAAAAUCAUGGAUAAAACCAGACUGACAGCAAAAUAGUGACUAUCUUUAGCAAAAAGAAAUGUUGAAAUUUAAAUGUUCC